AACCCUGAACGUUAUACUGCAAAUAUGUUAAUACGGGAGUACUCUUAUUUAGAAACAUACCAGUCCUGCUUACCAUGACAGCCCCUCCAGCAGUUGAUGGAAACGGUAAAACGUUCCUCUAAGGCAGGCAGAGGUAUUCAACUUCAAGUGAAGGACGACCACACAAGGAUGACUCCGUAAGCCCCAGGUUUCCACAGCGGAACAGGGGCGCGCCCCCCAAGUCUAGGCAGAUCUGUGAAAUUCCAGUGUUUCAGAAAUGGCUGUCCUCUUGGGCUUUUCCCUCAUGACAGUGUCGAAGGUUAACAGGGAA
Esox lucius (northern pike) is the source of this 310-nucleotide long non-coding RNA. RefSeq lists it as uncharacterized. The transcript is spliced from 4 exons. The record is from RefSeq and is a predicted model, not a curated record. NCBI's taxonomy places the organism in Eukaryota, Metazoa, Chordata, Actinopteri, Esociformes, Esocidae.